CAUGGUUUAUAUAAAAUCUUUAUGUAAAGUAGUUGCCUAAAUAGACCACAAUGUGUCACUGUUGUUCUGCGUUUGCUUUUUAGAAUUAAGCGAGAGCUCUCGUUUGUCCCUUACAGUAACCCGUAGUUCAGCUUUUGGUCCAAUCGGGUGGUGCUUUGGGUUUAGAGUUUCCUGUGUUUGAGUUGGAAGACAGAAGGAGAAAGUGUGAACAUGUUAAAGGAUGACACUAAGAUCAGGCGGAGCAGAGUGUGACAGUGCGGUCAGCAGAAGACGACAGGAAGGACAGCUCGUCCGUGUGCCAGCGGCACUGGAUGACCUUGUCUCCGUGUUCUCCCACCACAGUCAGAGGCAGCGGUUUAGUCAAAUCACCUACAGACACAGACAGAAAAUCACCAACUCCAAUAGUGACACUUGUGUGACUUGAGUGGUGACGGUUUGAUGAGUGUUUUUUUUUUUUUUUAAAGUGGGAUUUUUCCACACAAUAAAGACGUGUAAAUAUUUCUUAAAAUGUAUACUCUAAAGCUGACAGUUUCAUUAUUAAACACAUGCACAUGUG
This is a long non-coding RNA of Cynoglossus semilaevis (tongue sole), 556 nucleotides long. RefSeq lists it as uncharacterized. Lineage: Eukaryota; Metazoa; Chordata; Actinopteri; Pleuronectiformes; Cynoglossidae. The transcript is spliced from 3 exons. The record is from RefSeq and is a predicted model, not a curated record.